RNAcentral lists this unclassified non-coding RNA (2054 nucleotides) under Hevea brasiliensis (rubber tree). Lineage: Eukaryota; Viridiplantae; Streptophyta; Magnoliopsida; Malpighiales; Euphorbiaceae. The record is from RNAcentral.
ACAAAAAAAAAAUAGAAAAAUUUCACGUUGUUAAUGCCAAUUAAUUGCACAUCCAAUCACUAUUCAGAAAGCUGCUAUAUUUAAUUAUUAAUGAAGCAGCAGCCAACUUGAAGAUCUCCUUACAUGGGUACGUACUAAUAAUAACCAUCAACAUAACAGCAAACAAAUCCCACAACGAAGCGGCAUCAAUUAAACACAAACUAUGAAAUGAAAACUCGUCCUUCGCUUCUUGGAUAACAUGAUAUGUAAAGUCAAAGAGACAAUCUAAAUAUAUCAAUGUUAUCCAAGAUCCAUUCAAGCAUAUGCUAAAAGCUCUUCUAAACCUCCACAAGGAAUUCCUUAUCCUUCUCCAACCUCUCCAUGGCUCCAGCUUCCAAAGUGAUCUCCACAUCAAUGCUUCUUCCUCCACUCUUUCCUUGAUACAAAUACACCAUCCCAUCAAAUCUAUUGUUGGAUCCACUCCUAACGCUUUCUGGUUUGCCCCACCCGAAAUCCACCUCAUAUACCUGAAACCUAGGCGAGCUUCCCACGGCCACGCAGUUCACCCCAGCAUCCUUAAAUUGGAAUAUCUUCGGUGCACUCUCCCAUUCUUUGUUGCGCUCGUCGAUGGCUUUCGCGUUGUGGGCUUCAAUAGCCUUUUGAAUCACAGACGCCCCGAAAUCCGGUGGGUUCAUCGUUAAUAAUCCUACUGCUGUUGCCGUGAAUAUGGCCUGGAUUAGGUUACCGAAGUAACUAUCUGGCAUCGGCGGGUCGACCCUUUUCCUGCAAUCGGCAAAGACGGUGAACACUGUGUAGUGUUCGGGUUUGAGUUCACGCGCAUGGCAUACUUGACGCCAAAUAUGGGCUGCGAGUGAUUGAAAGGUGGAGAAUGGCUUUGAACCGUCGGAUGGAGGGUUUGCGUUAGCUUUUGACUUAAUUUUGUCGAUAGCAGCUUCGGAGAAUUUGAAGACCUUCUCUAUGAGUUGAGGUGCGGACUUGGCAUCUUCAUUGCAUGCACUGAGUGGGUCCGGUGGCAGGGAGAGGUCGAGCUUGACGCGAGUGUUGCGUGCUUUGGUGCGUUCAAAGAAGGGUGGGACCGAGACUGAAGAGGACCCAUUGCAGAUCUGGGCCCAUGAAUUCAUGAAGUGCCACGUGGAAGUCCCAUCUAAGAUAGCGUGGUUAAACGCGCACCCCAUUGCCAGUCCGUCUUUUAGCUUGGUUAGCUGCACUGACAACAAAGGCCUGUGAAGGCCUUCCAAAUUCAGGAUGCCAUUGUAGGGGAUCAAGUCCUUCAGGGUGGUGGUGCCUUGCUCAGUCGUAAGAUCAUCCACACUGAUCCCGUUAGCAAUGGCCUCUACCACCUCCACGCCUUCCAUGUCAUCGUCAUACUCAACCCUGAACACUCCAUCUUCAUCUUUUCCAAGCUUCCCAGCCAUUUGAUGGAAAUCUUCCAAAACUAGCGCAAGCCCAUCUUUCAGUUUCCCCACCAUGUCUUCAAAGUCGUGAUCACUGCUGCCUUUGUACAACAAAAACUUCUGAUUGUAGUAAAAGGCCAGAUAUGGAAGAUCGAAGGUCACCAAUUGGCAUUCUCUUCUUCCCAAUUUCUUAUUGGGCUUCACACGGGUCUUGCCUGUGAAUUUCACCUUCAUGGUUUCUUCCUUCUUCUCUAUUUGACAGGCCAUGGAUGAAGGGUGAAGAUAAGAUACACAAGACUAAAGUCACUAGUGGAGUUACCAAACAAGACUUAUGGGGAGUUAUAGGGGGAGUUCAUUUGACGUUGGUUGAGAGGCAUUUAUGGUGUCCAUGAGAGCGGUUGUGAGCCAUUAAUAAACCUGCUUCGGACUGUUGGCGAAGCCGUGAAGUUAGUAGUUGAGUGAAAAUUAAAGGUCCCCUCUCUCUCUUAUUACUGAAAACGCUAGCUAGUGUGGUCUGCUGGCUAAAGUAAAUGCUAGCAUUGAUAACCUAACAUUUGUAUCAUCUAUUAUCUCAAGAUGUGAAAUAAGUAAUCUCCUCGUCUUGGGUUGAAAAAAGUACUAGGAGAAAAUUUUAACUGAAUAAGUUAAAUCUACCAUUAG